Molecule: ribosomal RNA, 1363 nt
Filed under: Limosilactobacillus fermentum
Lineage: Bacteria; Bacillati; Bacillota; Bacilli; Lactobacillales; Lactobacillaceae
Description: bacterial SSU rRNA
Rfam family: Bacterial small subunit ribosomal RNA
Source: RNAcentral
GCACCUGAUUGAUUUUGGUCGCCAACGAGUGGCGGACGGGUGAGUAACACGUAGGUAACCUGCCCAGAAGCGGGGGACAACAUUUGGAAACAGAUGCUAAUACCGCAUAACAGCGUUGUUCGCAUGAACAACGCUUAAAAGAUGGCUUCUCGCUAUCACUUCUGGAUGGACCUGCGGUGCAUUAGCUUGUUGGUGGGGUAACGGCCUACCAAGGCGAUGAUGCAUAGCCGAGUUGAGAGACUGAUCGGCCACAAUGGGACUGAGACACGGCCCAUACUCCUACGGGAGGCAGCAGUAGGGAAUCUUCCACAAUGGGCGCAAGCCUGAUGGAGCAACACCGCGUGAGUGAAGAAGGGUUUCGGCUCGUAAAGCUCUGUUGUUAAAGAAGAACACGUAUGAGAGUAACUGUUCAUACGUUGACGGUAUUUAACCAGAAAGUCACGGCUAACUACGUGCCAGCAGCCGCGGUAAUACGUAGGUGGCAAGCGUUAUCCGGAUUUAUUGGGCGUAAAGAGAGUGCAGGCGGUUUUCUAAGUCUGAUGUGAAAGCCUUCGGCUUAACCGGAGAAGUGCAUCGGAAACUGGAUAACUUGAGUGCAGAAGAGGGUAGUGGAACUCCAUGUGUAGCGGUGGAAUGCGUAGAUAUAUGGAAGAACACCAGUGGCGAAGGCGGCUACCUGGUCUGCAACUGACGCUGAGACUCGAAAGCAUGGGUAGCGAACAGGAUUAGAUACCCUGGUAGUCCAUGCCGUAAACGAUGAGUGCUAGGUGUUGGAGGGUUUCCGCCCUUCAGUGCCGGAGCUAACGCAUUAAGCACUCCGCCUGGGGAGUACGACCGCAAGGUUGAAACUCAAAGGAAUUGACGGGGGCCCGCACAAGCGGUGGAGCAUGUGGUUUAAUUCGAAGCUACGCGAAGAACCUUACCAGGUCUUGACAUCUUGCGCCAACCCUAGAGAUAGGGCGUUUCCUUCGGGAACGCAAUGACAGGUGGUGCAUGGUCGUCGUCAGCUCGUGUCGUGAGAUGUUGGGUUAAGUCCCGCAACGAGCGCAACCCUUGUUACUAGUUGCCAGCAUUAAGUUGGGCACUCUAGUGAGACUGCCGGUGACAAACCGGAGGAAGGUGGGGACGACGUCAGAUCAUCAUGCCCCUUAUGACCUGGGCUACACACGUGCUACAAUGGACGGUACAACGAGUCGCGAACUCGCGAGGGCAAGCAAAUCUCUUAAAACCGUUCUCAGUUCGGACUGCAGGCUGCAACUCGCCUGCACGAAGUCGGAAUCGCUAGUAAUCGCGGAUCAGCAUGCCGCGGUGAAUACGUUCCCGGGCCUUGUACACACCGCCCGUCACACCAUGAGAGUUUGUA